RNAcentral lists this ribosomal RNA (254 nucleotides) under uncultured bacterium. RNAcentral describes it as "partial 16S ribosomal RNA". It matches the Rfam family "Bacterial small subunit ribosomal RNA", at positions 524 to 776 of the family's 1533-position model. The record is from RNAcentral.
UACAGAGGUCCCAAGCGUUGUUCGGAUUCAUUGGGCGUAAAGGGUGCGUAGGCGGCGCGGUAAGUCGGGUGUGAAAUCUCGGAGCUUAACUCCGAAACUGCAUUCGAUACUGCCGUGCUUGAGGACUGGAGAGGAGACUGGAAUUCACGGUGUAGCGGUGAAAUGCGUAGAUAUCUGGAGGAACACCGGUGGCGAAGGCGGCAUCCUGGACCAACACUGACGGCUGAGGAGCGAAAGCCAGGGGAGCAAACGGG